This is a long non-coding RNA of Papaver somniferum (opium poppy), 1886 nucleotides long. RefSeq lists it as uncharacterized. The record is from RefSeq and is a predicted model, not a curated record. The transcript is spliced from 3 exons. Lineage: Eukaryota; Viridiplantae; Streptophyta; Magnoliopsida; Ranunculales; Papaveraceae.
AGCUGCUCACAUCUCUCUCUCGUUUUCAUCUUCUUCACAGUUACACUAGCCUCCGUCUCGUUUUCUUCUUCCUCUUUACAUUUCUCUUCUUCUUCUUACAGAGUUACAGCACAACCACCACCUCCGUCACACACGAGCAACCAAACCCUUCUUCUACUUUUUCUUCUUCAUCACAAUCAUAACAUUCACAUAUGAAUCAACAUGAAUAGUUGAUAAACAGAUAUAUGUGAAGGAUUCCGCUCAAAAAAGAAGUUUUAUUCUCCAAUUUUGAUUUUAUUCAUAUAGUGAGAAGAAGUAUUGACCACAGCAAGUAUGCAACUGCACUGGUGGGUUUCGUAUUUCACAUUUAGAGAAGAUGAAAAACAGUGGGAGAAUAACAGUGAUGUGCUACUACUGUAAAUGGGGUUCUAUGUUGUGAUUAUACAGCUUGACAUCACUUUUCAAUGGAAGUUCAUAAUUGCUCAUUGGGAACAGAAUGUUUUGGUAAGGUCAGCAAGUUAGCCGAAGAAAGGUCUACGGGCCAUUGUGAGGAGGAAAUGCAGGAGGAUAUUCCACUUCUGUACAAGAAGUUGUGCGCAUGCUUAAUCAGACAAGACUUGGUGUCAAUUUGCGAAGAAGACGAAAACAGAGAUUUUUGCGGGGGGGAUCAGUCUGAGAGAAAACAUGUAGAAUCAGAUGGCAGAAGACUGGUAAGUGGAUAUACGUGGAUGGAUGAGGAUGAGGCUAAACACGCAUCAAACACCAAAACACUGCAGAGGGAGGAAGAGGCCAAUGUUAUAACAUUAGCUGGCCUCAAAAUCUUUCCCAAGAUAGUAGAACAAGGUGGAGAGACCAUUGUUGGCGACCUUGAAGUCCAUGCAAACGGGUUCUACUAUGCAGCCUCCGGUCCCAAUUUCUGUUUUUCUUUCUUGUAUACAGAUGUAAAGACAGAUUUAUUUCGAGUUGGAGAACGAGAAGAUGCCUCCUCUCUUGCACUUCCAUUUUCAUGAAGGCAUCAAGGUGGGGACAGAAAAGAGACAGAAUAUCCAAUUUCGUUUGGUGCAGACCCCUGUGGGACAGAAGAGAUCUUAUACUGAUUCAAAUAAGAUUAAUGAAGACUUAAAGAACUUUGUCCACAAUGUUCGAGAAAAAUGGAGAGGUAUACCUGCAUUACAUUGUAAACCGUUUGUUGAUGCUGAGGUUCGUAAGGUGUAUGAGUUUCAAGGAAAUCGUCCCAACAAGGCACCAACCGUCUUUGGCUUGACUCUUUUUACGCUAGUUGGGCUUGUGGAUGAACCUUUUAUUGUGGUCGACCUAUACGAGAUAGAGGUUGUUCAUCUGAGGCUUAAAUGCGAGUUGUCUAAACCUGUGGAAAUAGAUAUGACUAUUGUUUUUCAGGACUUCCAGCGUGAUCCAGUUCAAAUCAACUCGAUUCCCAUUGACAAGCUCUAUCUCAUAAAAAACAGCUGUAACUCUGCUGGCGUGAAGUAUGAUGAGAAUUAGGAUAUCGACCGCGGUUCCAUAUUGCAAGAUCGCUGACCGGAGGAUUUUUUGAGAAAGCCGUGAUUAUGAACUACUACAACGCAGGAUGAGUAAGGCAGGAGAAGGUCGAGUUUUGGCAAAGCAGUCACUGGAACCACAAAAUUAUCUUACCAAGCAAUCGUAUGUUGCUUUUGAAUGAGCCGGUGUAUUCUUUCGUCGUUCUGAUCUUUUUUUCUCAGGAGGAUCUGGCUUAUGCCUCUGCUUUUUUCUCAAUCAAUAAACUAGAUAGUAACCCGUGCUGUGCACCAGGUUAAAAAAUCUUGUUUGCGCUUGAAUUUUUAGGAUGUUAUUUUUAGGACAAUAAGCACAGAAUAGUCGGACUUUAUUUAUUUACUAGUUCUUCACCCGUGCGGUGCACGGGUCUA